CCAGUCGGCCGGGCGGCCGCUCCGGGUGUCUCACCCGGGGAGGAAAGUCCGGGCUCCACGGAAAGACGGUGCCGGUCAACGACCGGCGAGGGCGACCUCAGGGAAAGUGCCACAGAAAACGAACCGCCCCGAUGCGGCCGUCGGUCCACCGACGGCCGGUCGCAAGACGGACCUUCCUCGGGAGGCGAUCGGGGUAAGGGUGAAAAGGUGGGGUAAGAGCCCACCGCGGACCCGGCAACGGGGACGGCAGGGCAAACCCCACCGGGAGCAAGACCGAAUAGGGGCGGCGCGGGCUCGCAAGAGUUCCGGUCUUUUCCGGACCAGUCGCCCGGGUUGGUUGCGCGAGGCGUCCGGCGACGGGCGUCCCAGACGAAUGGCCGCCACGUGGGGGAAACCCCGCCAUACAGAACCCGGCUUACAGGCCGACUGGCACU
This 434-nucleotide RNase P RNA is filed under the name Siculibacillus sp. RNAcentral describes it as "RNase P RNA component class A". It matches the Rfam family "Bacterial RNase P class A". From Rfam's summary of the family: Ribonuclease P (RNase P) is a ubiquitous endoribonuclease, found in archaea, bacteria and eukarya as well as chloroplasts and mitochondria. Lineage: Bacteria; Pseudomonadati; Pseudomonadota; Alphaproteobacteria; Hyphomicrobiales; Ancalomicrobiaceae. The record is from RNAcentral.